RNAcentral lists this ribosomal RNA (497 nucleotides) under uncultured bacterium. Its description in RNAcentral is "partial 16S ribosomal RNA". It matches the Rfam family "Bacterial small subunit ribosomal RNA", at positions 28 to 507 of the family's 1533-position model. The record is from RNAcentral.
GACGAACGCUGGCGGCGUGCCUAAUACAUGCAAGUAGAACGCUGAAGCGAGGAGCUUGCUCUUCUUGGGUGAGUUGCGAACGGGUGAGUAACGCGUAGGUAACCUGCCUGGUAGCGGGGGAUAACUAUUGGAAACGAUAGCUAAUACCGCAUAAAAUGGAUUAUCGCAUGAUAAUCCAUUGAAAGAUGCAAUUGCAUCACUACCAGAUGGACCUGCGUUGUAUUAGCUAGUUGGUGGGGUAACGGCUCACCAAGGCGACGAUACAUAGCCGACCUGAGAGGGUGAUCGGCCACACUGGGACUGAGACAAGGCCCAGACUUCUACGGGAGGCAGCAGUAGGGAAUCUUCGGCAAUGGACGGAAGUCUGACCGAGCAAAGCCGCGUGAGGGAAGAAGGGUUUCGGAUCGUAAAGCUCUGUUGUAAGAGAAGAACGAGUGUGAGAGUGGAAAGUGCACACUGUGACGGUAUCUAAUCAGAAAGGGACGGCUAACUACGUG